Paramuricea clavata is the source of this 586-nucleotide non-coding RNA. The record is from the annotation of a GenBank genome assembly. NCBI's taxonomy places the organism in Eukaryota, Metazoa, Cnidaria, Anthozoa, Malacalcyonacea, Plexauridae.
UAUUUUAGGAUCAAAUCCACAUUUCAUUGCAAAAGCCCUUUCCUGAAAUUAGAUGUGAGGAUGUGCGGAGAAUGAUAAAUGAGCUUUCUAUCAAGGUAUCAGUAGUCAAUUAUAAGUUGCUCAUUUGAACUUUUAAUUUAAGUUGUAAAAGUAAUUUAAAGAAGAAGAUAUUUACAGUUCCUUAGUUGUACAAAUUGUCCCAUAAUCAUACAUCUUCUCAAUCUUGAUAUUUUUAGCACUUAACCCAGAAUUUCACAUUUAUGUUAUUUGCCAAAAAUGUUAGUUACAUCCUUAUCAAUCUGAAGCUUUCAAAUAUUCAAAUUUAUAGAAUGAUUAAUCUAUUCUCUUCUUUUUAGGACCUCCAUGUAUUGUACCCUCAUCUUCUUGCCAGUAUUUUUAGCGUCAUUCCCAACAAAGGCUGGGCUUUACACACUCUACAUCGUAGAUCACUGGAAGGUUUUUGACGUUUCCUUGGUCCCCACGGUCCUGUGUGGAGUCUCGUUGAAAAACUGGACAGAGAUUCUUUCCUUCGUUAUGAGUUUCCUAUCACAUGCUUACCUGUAAGUUGACAUGAUCCAGCGUAUCA